AGAAGUCCAUUUUGUAAGUCGCUCUGGAUAAGAGCGUCUGCUAAAUGACUUAAA
Non-coding RNA from Salmo salar (Atlantic salmon), 54 nucleotides. The record is from Rfam. Lineage: Eukaryota; Metazoa; Chordata; Actinopteri; Salmoniformes; Salmonidae.